This 117-nucleotide non-coding RNA is filed under the name Pan troglodytes (chimpanzee). The record is from Rfam by way of RNAcentral. Lineage: Eukaryota; Metazoa; Chordata; Mammalia; Primates; Hominidae.
GCUGGGUGUGGUGGCUCACACCUGUAAUCCCAGCACUUUGGGAGGCCAAGGCGGGUGGAUCACUGGAGGCCAGGAGUUCAAGACUGGCCUGGCCAACAUGGUGAGAUCCCGUCUCUA